Haemophilus pittmaniae HK 85 is the source of this 81-nucleotide non-coding RNA. NCBI's taxonomy places the organism in Bacteria, Pseudomonadati, Pseudomonadota, Gammaproteobacteria, Pasteurellales, Pasteurellaceae. The record is from Rfam.
GCAACUUGCAGUUGUUUUAAUAAAAUUGGUUCCUUAGGUUAUUUGCCCUUCUUCUUGAAGGGCUUUUUUUUAGAAUUUUUU